RNAcentral lists this ribosomal RNA (403 nucleotides) under uncultured bacterium. RNAcentral's name for it is "bacterial SSU rRNA". It matches the Rfam family "Bacterial small subunit ribosomal RNA", at positions 28 to 399 of the family's 1533-position model. The record is from RNAcentral.
GACGAACGCUGGCGGCGUGCCUAAUACAUGCAAGUCGAACGCACUCUCGUUUAGAUUGAAGGAGCUUGCUCCUGAUUGAUAAACAUUUGAGUGAGUGGCGGACGGGUGAGUAACACGUGGGUAACCUGCCCUAAAGUGGGGGAUAACAUUUGGAAACAGAUGCUAAUACCGCAUAAAACCUAACACCGCAUGGUGUAGGGUUGAAAGAUGGUUUCGGCUAUCACUUUAGGAUGGACCCGCGGUGCAUUAGUUAGUUGGUGAGGUAAAGGCUCACCAAGACCGUGAUGCAUAGCCGACCUGAGAGGGUAAUCGGCCACACUGGGACUGAGACAGGCCCAGACUCCUACGGGAGGCAGCAGUAGGGAAUCUUCCACAAUGGACGAAGUCUGAUGGAGCAACGCCG